UUAAAGCAUCGUAGGACAAUGCCGCUAUGUAAACUGUAAGGUGGGUCUUAAAUUAGUGUGAGUUAUUUUGGCACCGGACUCAACCUUCACGUUACAAUAUUUAAAGUAUUGCGCUGUCAUAGUAACGAAAAUGAUAAACACGUCAAUCGGAGUAAACAAGUAACUAAAUGAUGCAAACAAGAAAAUAUUGCAAAAUAGGUACAUAUAUAUGUACCGAUAAUUAUUUUGUGUUAAAAAUAUGAGGCAAAUUAUACUGCCCGAUUAUACGGACUACAUAUUAAAAACGAUUAUCUUGGAAACAGUCAAUAGAUGUCGAACCACCAGCAAAGUUUUUGAAGAGGUGUACCUAGUUCCUGGUACCAACUGGAAACUGAAACUAAUAAUCUACACUCAAGAAAAUGAAAUAUAGUCACAGAAAACUUUAAUGUUUUAUUUUAUUAAAGAAAAACGUUAAAAAAAUGUGUAAACAGAAA
Molecule: long non-coding RNA, 473 nt
Organism: Cydia pomonella (codling moth)
Lineage: Eukaryota; Metazoa; Arthropoda; Insecta; Lepidoptera; Tortricidae
Exons: 2
Source: RefSeq, a predicted model, not a curated record